Non-coding RNA from Triticum aestivum (bread wheat), 135 nucleotides. The record is from Rfam. Lineage: Eukaryota; Viridiplantae; Streptophyta; Magnoliopsida; Poales; Poaceae.
GUAGUAUUCCCUCCGUCCCAAAAUUCUUGUCUUACAUUUGUUUAGAUAACGAUGUAUCUAACACUAAAAUGUAACUAGAUACAUCCAUAUUUAGACAAAUUUAAGACAAGAAUUUUGGGACGGAGGGAGUACAAA